UCGGGAAUUUUGGGCAAUGGGCGAAAGCCUGACCCAGCAACGCCGCGUGAAGGAUGAAGUAUUUCGGUAUGUAAACUUCGAAAGAAUAGGAAGAAUAAAUGACGGUACUAUUUAUAAGGUCCGGCUAACUACGUGCCAGCAGCCGCGGUAAUACGUAGGGACCAAGCGUUGUUCGGAUUUACUGGGCGUAAAGGGCGCGUAGGCGGCAAUUCAAGUCAUCUGUGAAAUCUCCGGGCUUAACUCGGAACGGUCAGAUGAUACUGCUUUGCUAGAGUGCAGAAGGGGCAAUCGGAAUUCUUGGUGUAGCGGUGAAAUGCGUAGAUAUCAAGAGGAACACCUGAGGUGAAGACGGGUUGCUGGGCUGACACUGACGCUGAGGCGCGAAAGCCAGGGGAGCAAACGGGAUUAGAUACCCUCGUAGUCCCUGAGCGGGCUGGCAAGGCGCAU
RNAcentral lists this ribosomal RNA (447 nucleotides) under uncultured bacterium. RNAcentral's name for it is "bacterial SSU rRNA". It matches the Rfam family "Bacterial small subunit ribosomal RNA", at positions 355 to 825 of the family's 1533-position model. The record is from RNAcentral.